RNAcentral lists this ribosomal RNA (253 nucleotides) under uncultured bacterium. RNAcentral describes it as "partial 16S ribosomal RNA". It matches the Rfam family "Bacterial small subunit ribosomal RNA", at positions 524 to 776 of the family's 1533-position model. The record is from RNAcentral.
UACGUAGGGUGCAAGCGUUAUCCGGAAUUAUUGGGCGUAAAGAGCUCGUAGGCGGUUUGUCGCGUCUGCUGUGAAAACUGGAGGCUCAACCUCCAGCCUGCAGUGGGUACGGGCAAACUAGAGUGCGGUAGGGGAGAGUGGAAUUCCUGGUGUAGCGGUGGAAUGCGCAGAUAUCAGGAGGAACACCGAUGGCGAAGGCAGAUCUCUGGGCCGUAACUGACGCUGAGGCGCGAAAGCAUGGGGAGCGAACAGG